UACGUAGGGGGCGAGCGUUGUCCGGAAUCAUUGGGCGUAAAGCGCGCGUAGGCGGCCCGGUAAGUCCGUUGUAAAAGUCAAAGGCUCAACCUUUGAAAGCCGAUGGAUACUGCCGGGCUAGAAUCCGGAAGAGGCGAGUGGAAUUCCCGGUGUAGCGGUGGAAUGCGCAGAUAUCAGGAGGAACACCAAUAGCGAAGGCAGCUCGCUGGGACGGUAUUGACGCUAAGGCGCGAAAGCGUGGGGAGCAAACGGG
RNAcentral lists this ribosomal RNA (253 nucleotides) under uncultured bacterium. RNAcentral describes it as "partial 16S ribosomal RNA". It matches the Rfam family "Bacterial small subunit ribosomal RNA", at positions 524 to 776 of the family's 1533-position model. The record is from RNAcentral.